GGGGUUGGACUGGAUGAUCUCCAGCUCGCUGACCUGGGGCUGCUUUUCCCUGCCGAGCUGAGCGGCCGCAGGGAGUGGGAGCGAAACGAAGCAAGGAAAAGCAGCUCCUGCUGCAAUUUUGAAUAUAAAUGGCAGACGCUGGCAGUGCUGAAACCAGCCUUGGUUUGUUUCAGUGCAGCCACUGGAGGGAAUCUCGGUUUUGCCAAAGAGCCUCAUGAGCAAGUUUGCAAAGUCUAACACAAUUCUUUAGAAGAAUGAGGAGUUUCAUAGAGGGUACAGGGACGUUGAAAGACCCCAGCUAAAGCAUUUUAAACCUGCUUUUUCCUGAUCACAUGCCCUGCUUAGCCACACUGUAGGCUGUGGGUAGAAUUCCCUGCCUUUUGCAGACUGAUCCCUGCUCUUGUGGCUGGCAGAGGUGUGUGCUGCUGUGGCUGACAGGACACUCGCUACUCGAUGACAGGACACUACAACACAAAACGUGCAUCUUGGUCCUUACUCGGUGCGUUGCUUGCUCUGUUCCUCAGCUGUUGCUGGCUGAAGGCCCUGGCUCUUCCCUGCAGCCCUAGCCAGCCCUUUGGGUUACAGCACACAUUUGUCAGUGGCAUCCAUGGCCACCCCGUGGCUGUACAGCUGCUUCCCAACUGGCACGCUGUCUCCUCAGACUGUUCCUAGGCUGGCUCCUUUCCCCAGCCCCAUGAAGAUUACUCUUCCUGGCUCUGCUGUCCAAGGGUGCACUGCAGCUGCCCAUCACCCCCUGCUUUUUUCCCUUGACAACCAGUUCCCAGGCUGCUGGCUCCAAGCUGUUCUUGCAUUCCUACAGCAUCAGGCUCUCCAAGGGCCCACUGCCUGGGCCUUAUGCUCUCUGUUACCAGAAUGGCACUUCUUCUGCCCUGUCUCUUCAGAUUAUACAGGACCUUGAGUUGAUGUGAUGCUAAUCUGGCUUGCUUUUCUCUCCAGGAGAUGUCUCUGGCCCAAUCCUGACACUGUAGGUCAUGCUAAGGAGGAACAAUGCCAGUGUGUCCAUUAGGCUGAUUGUAUUUCUGACGACUUCACUCAUCACCAUGGUAUCUGGAUACAUUUUUUUGGACUAUUUUGGUCCAUUUCUUCUGUCUCCCACACACUUUAUCAUCAUCACUAUAAUACUUGUAGGAAACCAAAAACAGAAAAAAGGGUUGAGGAAACCUGUUUUUUCUAGAGUUGAUAUGCUUCAUGGUGAUUCAUGGUUAUUUUGUAUGAUCUUGGAGUGAACCCAUAGGGUAACUGUUCUAAUAUCUCUGUGUUCCAAAGGACACUUUUUCUAGUUACUACAAACUGCAAUGAAGAAUCCUAGGAAUGAAAAAUGCAUGAUGGCCAUGGCCAAAUCAGCAGCAUCUUGUCAUCAGGGACAAGCCUCUUGGAUAGCAGAAAUUGCUCUGUGCUAGUUGCAAUGGCAAUAGGCAGACUGCAAGAGACAAGAAAGGCAAACCUAGAGAUCAAAUUCAUCAAAACAAGACAGGAUGAUAUUGGAAAUAUUCCUGGACACCUGGAAGACAACUUUGGGCUUAGAUCUGCACAGCCUUCCUCCUCCUCUGCCCUAGAUGCUACCUUUUGACAUGUCUGUUUCAUAAAUGAAACCCCUGUUCCAUACAUGUAUAAGCCAACACUUUCAAACACUUGCCUCCACAAAGAAUAUUUCCCUUCAGAUGAGGACUGAAUGAAGGCAGAACUGCAUGGAAACUCAGCAUAUUGUAAGUGAAACAGCCUAGAGCAUUCAUCUCAUAUCUCAUGUCAUCUCAUCAUAUAGUUCCGUGUGACCACUAAACUGGCUGGUCAUGGCUAGUUGCCACUAGCAAGGCAAAGGUCUUACCCUAAGCCACUAGUUGCAAGGCAAAGGUCUUACCCUAGGCUGUGCUCUUCCACUGUCAUUUUUGUGUUGGCAUUGCUGCCUGGCUGGGCUGAGGUAAACCAGGAUGGAAGCUCUGCAGGGCAGAGAUAAGCCAAGAAGAGAAGAUUUCUUGCAGUGUCUCACCCAGGCCAGGUGAGAGCCAGCAGAGCCUCAGAGGAAGCAAUUCAAAGAGGAAAGCCACAGUAGCACUGACUUAGAUCAGUCUAAAUUCCCAUACUAGUGUGUGCUUUCUGAGUGUGGCACUUCCUUCUCCUGCUUCUGCUCUGUCCUAGGCACUGCAGUCUCUCCCCCAGUGCUCCUUCUGAGGCUGCUUUGGAGCCCUUGUGAGUUGACUCAGCUCACCAACCUCACAGAAGAAAAACCCUCUUCAUUUGCUUGUUGGUUUGAUUCAAUGUGUGAAUAACUCUGUGAGGGAAAGGGGGAGUGAAGGAAGAAGUUGGAGGAGGAGAUGGAACUGUCCUUUUUUGAUGGUCAAACCAUUAUUGCCACCCACUGAGGGUGCAAUUUGAUGUUACACCUAACCAAUCCAACCAUGCAAGGUGUAACUGAAGAUAACAGUGCUAAACUCACUGAUCUGAUGUAAAGUGAACUCUUUUCUUUGUUGAGUUGCCACAAAGCUGUGUGAUUGCUAAAUCCAGUUCAGGGGAAGCUGCAGGAAUGUCUGUGUGGAACUUUUUGGGAAGAACAGAACUGUUGUAUUUUGUGGCAAUCUCCACUUAGGUUGUGCUAUCAGGAUGUUAAACUGUCCUCUUUGCAUGCUUUCGGAAGGGAUAAAAACAAAACUAAGCUUUUCAAAAAAAAUUUACUUUUGAGUUGGGUCAACACAGUGAUCUGACUUAACAGCUGCAAAACAGUUAAUCCUAAACCAGAGAGAGAAUGAAAAGAUAAAGUGAGGGGCAGGAGACAGGAGAAUCUCUUUUUGGAUAGCAGUGUACUCUUACAUUGGCUGAUGCUGAACAUGGAGCUGCUCCCCAAGAAAGGGAGCCCAAGUGACUGAAGAAAUUUUCAGCUUUUUGUAGUAAACAGCUCAUCAAAAUGAUCUAACUUUAAAAAAUUCAUUAUCUUUUACUUUUGCAAACUGUGUUUUCACUGGCCUCACAAGCAGAUGACUUUGUGGGAGAAUGGUAGAAUUAAGAACUGCACCAGAGAGUGAUUGACUAUGAAAUUGGGAAGUAAGGAACUUAGCUGGCUUGACCAUCAGGGAAGUUGUAAUGUGGUAUUAUGCUUUGGAUUUUCUACAGUAGCUUGUAAUGAAGAAGAAUAAAGAUGUACCUCAG
This is a long non-coding RNA of Pipra filicauda (Wire-tailed manakin), 3162 nucleotides long. RefSeq lists it as uncharacterized. The record is from RefSeq and is a predicted model, not a curated record. The transcript has 2 exons. NCBI's taxonomy places the organism in Eukaryota, Metazoa, Chordata, Aves, Passeriformes, Pipridae.